CAUCAGCUCCAGGAGCCUGCAUUUCUGCCCUGAAGUGAUGGUUCACUGACAGCAUCAUCCGACUCAGACGACUUAAAGUUAGUCGAUCCUGGUCCAGUCAAGAGGGCAUCCUGUUCAAGCACAAAAACGGCCAACACGGCGCCACAGAACCACGAACCACAGCCUUCAACCUCCAAUCUGCCACCCUUCCACAUCAGCUCCAGCUGCAGAUGCAAGAAUGGUGUAUCAGGAUCAACAUCCACGUUUGCCAGCACAAACGGCUGAAGAGAUGGUCACAGGCACUUGUCAGCGAGUCUACGUUCCUGUGUAUCAUCCACUGCCAUUCAAGACUGUUCAAGAGCCUUCAACUCCCACGCAGAACAAGACUACAAGAAGUUGUAGAGACUUGGACGUAAGCUCACAGGCACAAACCCCUGCCGGCGUGUCCCUCGAAGUAAAACAGCCCGGCCACUCCAUGAUGGACCCGAUGACUGAAUUGUCCUCUAUUCUCUCUAGGGCGGGCACCCAAGACUUCAAAACGGCACCGUUGGUGGCCCACGUUGUCUCCUUAUCUAACACCAUCUGCUCUUAGGCUGUUGCCUCUCCUGGCCAAAGAAUGACCUGUAUUGAAUGAGGACAAAAAAGGAAGUAAGGUAAAUAAGGGAGAGGAAAUAUAUAUACACCGAUCAGCCAUGACAUAAACAACAUGGGCACCCUGUCUUAAUGUUAUGACUGAUCGGUGUAUAUAUACUGUACUAAUAUAUGUACAAAUAUAUGUAUAUAUACAGUCUCCCCUUGGGAGACAGGUAGGGCUGAUUGAUUAUGACAAAUAUCCUAAUCACAAUCAUUUAACACGAUUACUCAUAGACUUUGGAAACAUCAUGCAUUUAGAAAGAAAAUUUUGUAGGCUACAUUUUAGAGUACAGUAGGGUACACUUUGAGAGCAAAAUUAAGAGUUUAGAUCUAUGAGGAAUUUUGUGCUCUACUAAACAUACUGUAAGCAUGAAGGGCGAGGGGUGUUGUAAAGCGCCACCUUCACCCUGGGCCUUUCUAAGCUGACCUACAGACGGUCCUGGUGCAUCACGGAGAAAAUAAGCCCCGCUGGAAAGGAAAGGGGUGCACUGGAUUUAUAACACAAGACAAAACACAAUUAAUUGCACAGCCCUAGAGUCAGGUCAGCAAACUUUUGGGUGAUUAAAGUCACAGCUGAAGACAUCUCUUUAAAUGUUUUUGUGCUUGAGUCAUGUAAACUAUUUUGAGUUGUGAUGCAUCUAAUUAUUUGCUUUUAUUGGGCCAUUUUCUUCUGUUGUACUCAUCACUUUUUAUUCUUUUGUAAAACACUCUGUAACCUAGAUUUUGAAAGGUCCUAUUUAAAUAAAAUUAUACUUUGGAGCUGCAAUGAUUAUUCGAUUAGUUACUAUUAAGUUAAUCGCCAACUAUUUUGAUAAUCAAUUAAAUGGUUUGAGUAAUUUUUGUAACGAAAAAUAAGUCAAAAUUCUGAUUCCA
Molecule: long non-coding RNA, 1485 nt
Organism: Sebastes umbrosus (honeycomb rockfish)
Lineage: Eukaryota; Metazoa; Chordata; Actinopteri; Perciformes; Sebastidae
Exons: 6
Source: RefSeq, a predicted model, not a curated record